UGGGGAAGCAGCGUGGCAAGGUCUGCAGCGUGGCAAGGAGUAAACCAGGUCGGUUGUGAGCCCCUGUCGACGAGGACCAGGGAGGACUGUCCCUCCAGCAUAAAGGCCGCCUGGUGGAUCUUCCCGCUCUCUGUCCCCGGUUCCUCCUGCUCCGGUUGAGAUCUGCUUCGAUAUGGACUAUCGUCAACAACGGUUAUCCCGUUUCUUGGGCUAGUCACUCCAAGUGGUCUCCUCAGCAUCGCCCCCUUCAGGCAUAAGACCCGGCCACCGUUCCGAUGACUAACUAUGGCUAAGGGACAUCCCCCGGACCCUCUUCUGCUCCUCUCUGCCGUAGAAAGACCGCUGUGCCUGCUCUACCGUCUUCCUGAAAGUCACCUGGCCACUCACCAGCGGGAACACCUGCAUCGAACACUGGCUGAGGAGUCCUCCUUCAGCGCCAUCAACCGGGAGGCUGCUGUAAGCGUUCUUCAUCGCAUGCGGACAGAGGCGCUCCGCGAGCUCCUGCGCGACGCGCUACGCCAGCCCCUUGAACCGCCCGGCGUCCCGCCUUGGAUUUUCGAGGAAGAAUUCCUCAUGGAGUUUCCUUCUCACGAGGACCUCCGAACUUUUGUGUAAUAAACUUGAAGGGGAGAUGUGGGGGCGCUGGCUGUUCUGUUAGGUAUUUAAGGGGGAGACAGACAGCAGGGAGCUUGAUCUCAGGCAGCUCUUUUGGGGAAGUGGUCUGCAGCAUGGCAAGGAAUAAAUCAGGUAGUUUGGGA
Molecule: long non-coding RNA, 758 nt
Organism: Ornithodoros turicata
Lineage: Eukaryota; Metazoa; Arthropoda; Arachnida; Ixodida; Argasidae
Exons: 2
Source: RefSeq, a predicted model, not a curated record